GAUGAACGCUGGCGGCGUGCCUAAUACAUGCAAGUCGAGCGAAUGGAUUAAGAGCUUGCUCUUAUGAAGUUAGCGGCGGACGGGUGAGUAACACGUGGGUAACCUGCCCAUAAGACUGGGAUAACUCCGGGAAACCGGGGCUAAUACCGGAUAACAUUUUGAACCGCAUGGUUCGAAAUUGAAAGGCGGCUUCGGCUGUCACUUAUGGAUGGACCCGCGUCGCAUUAGCUAGUUGGUGAGGUAACGGCUCACCAAGGCAACGAUGCGUAGCCGACCUGAGAGGGUGAUCGGCCACACUGGGACUGAGACACGGCCCAGACUCCUACGGGAGGCAGCAGUAGGGAAUCUUCCGCAAUGGACGAAAGUCUGACGGAGCAACGCCGCGUGAGUGAUGAAGGCUUUCGGGUCGUAAAACUCUGUUGUUAGGGAAGAACAAGUGCUAGUUGAAUAAGCUGGCACCUUGACGGUACCUAACCAGAAAGCCACGGCUAACUACGUGCC
RNAcentral lists this ribosomal RNA (501 nucleotides) under uncultured bacterium. RNAcentral's name for it is "bacterial SSU rRNA". It matches the Rfam family "Bacterial small subunit ribosomal RNA", at positions 28 to 509 of the family's 1533-position model. The record is from RNAcentral.